GGCCCUCAAGCUCAUUUGGUAUGAGCAAUCGACUCAUAAUCGAGAGGCAGAUAGGUUCAAAUCCUUCGGGGGCCACCA
Molecule: transfer RNA, 78 nt
Filed under: Ewingella americana
Lineage: Bacteria; Pseudomonadati; Pseudomonadota; Gammaproteobacteria; Enterobacterales; Yersiniaceae
Description: tRNA-Ile
Rfam family: tRNA
About the family: Transfer RNA (tRNA) molecules are approximately 80 nucleotides in length. Their secondary structure includes four short double-helical elements and three loops (D, anti-codon, and T loops). Further hydrogen bonds mediate the characteristic L-shaped molecular structure. tRNAs have two regions of fundamental functional importance: the anti-codon, which is responsible for specific mRNA codon recognition, and the 3' end, to which the tRNAs corresponding amino acid is attached (by aminoacyl-tRNA synthetases). tRNAs cope with the degeneracy of the genetic code in two manners: having more than one tRNA (with a specific anti-codon) for a particular amino acid; and 'wobble' base-pairing, i.e. permitting non-standard base-pairing at the 3rd anti-codon position.
Source: RNAcentral